CCUACGGGAGGCAGCAGUGAGGAAUAUUUGUCAAUGGCCGAGAGCCUGAACCAGCCAAGUCGCGUGAGGGAAGACGGCCCUACGGGUUGUAAACCUCUUUUAUCAGGGAGCAAAGGGCGGAUCGGGUCCUACUUUGAGAGUACCUGAAGAAAAAGCAUCGGCUAACUCCGUGCCAGCAGCCGCGGUAAUACGGAGGAUGCGAGCGUUAUCCGGAUUUAUUGGGUUUAAAGGGAGCGUAGAUGGUUUGUUAAGUCAGUGGUGAAAGUUUGCGGCUCAACCGUAAAAUUGCAAUUGAUACUGGUAGACUUGAGUACAGUUGAGGUAGGCGGAAUUCGUGGUGUAGCGGUGAAAUGCUUAGAUAUCACGAAGAACUCCGAUUGCGAAGGCAGCUUACUAAACUGUAACUGACAUUGAGGCUCGAAAGUGUGGGGAUCAAACAGGAUUAGAUACCCGAGUAGUC
Molecule: ribosomal RNA, 460 nt
Filed under: uncultured bacterium
Lineage: Bacteria
Description: partial 16S ribosomal RNA
Rfam family: Bacterial small subunit ribosomal RNA
Source: RNAcentral